This is an RNA transcript of Sciurus carolinensis (gray squirrel), 4073 nucleotides long. It is a transcript of the gene named zinc finger protein 83-like, with no coding region annotated. Lineage: Eukaryota; Metazoa; Chordata; Mammalia; Rodentia; Sciuridae. The transcript has 7 exons. The record is from RefSeq and is a predicted model, not a curated record.
UGUUCAGUGUCCGCGUCUCCUCGCGAGAGUCGGGUCGGCCUGCGGCCCCGGCGCCCGGCGCUCGGCGCGGACCCGCCGGGUUUCGGGCUCGGCCGCGUGGACGCCCCGCUUGGCGCCGCUCCCUCCCCGGCCUCGGCAGCGUUCCGGAGCUCGCCGUCCUCUGCUCUGCAGGACAAGCCCUGCUCCCCACCUGGCCCUGUCCUCCUCAGUCCUGUCCUCCCCACCUGGCCCUGUCCUCCCCACCUGGCCUUGUCCUCCUCAGUCAAGUCCUUCUUCACCUGGGCGAGUCCUCACUCGAUCCUUUCCUCGCCCAGCCAUGUCCUCUUACCUGCCCUGUUCUUACCCCACCUUGGCCUGCUACCUGGGACCUCAGGCAGAGCCUGGGAGCAGAGGACAGACUAUCAGCAGGCAUGGCAGAGGGCAGCGGUGGUGCUGGGACAAGAAGAGGCAUAACAGGAUUGACUUCUAAAGACUCACGUUACCUGAGGAAGCAGCCCUGGAGGGGGAGGAAAGAAAAGGAGUCAGGAAUGGCUGUCACUGAGGGUCUGCUGACAUUCAGGGAUGUGGCCAUUGAAUUCUCCCAGGAGGAGUGGAAGUGCCUGGUUCCUGCCCAGAGGGAGCUGUACAGGGAGGUGAUGUUGGAGACCUACAGGAACCUGGUCUCCCUGGGAAUGUGUCCUUUAGACCUGAGUGUCCUGUCCUUGUUGGAGCAAGAGAGGGAGCCCUGUCCUGUGGAUGGCCAACUGGAAAUAUCCAGCACAGCAAAUGGGUGGGCAUUUGUGGCAGGUGUCAAUACAGACAUUGCUCCUAAAUACGCCAUCAAGGAAUUUCCACCAAAAUGGAGCAGCAUUACAGGAGGAAUAGUCCACACAGUAACACUGCAAACACGUGAAAGCCAUGCCCUUGAGGGAUCAUGCUUUAGGGAAACCCAGAAAAGUACAUGGGACUUGUGUUUUUGGAACAAUGUCAGAAGACAUUACACAGGAUUUCCUCUCACUCCAAAGGAACGUCCCCCUGGAUACAGAGGUGAACAUGGAGGAAGGGAUUCAGGGAAGACACUCAACAACAGUUGUCUUGGAUUGAGCUUUCAGUCUCAUCUGCCAGAACCGCAGACCUUUCAAGAUGAAGGGAACUUUCAUAAAUGGAAUGAUAGUGAGCACACUAUCAACAGUGUUUCCUUGUUUCCCGCCCACCAAAGAAUUCCUUCUAGUGUCAAAGCAAGCGUUUCUCAUAAAUGUGAACAUGAUUUCAUAGAUUCUUUUCUAUUUGGACAAGAACAGGAAACAGACAUUCCUCCAGCAACCCAGGAGUGUAAUGAGUUUGGAAUAUCCUUUAAUCAAGGCUCGCACUGUACUAGACAUCAGACAGUCCAUACUGGAGAGAAACGAUUUAUGUGUGAAGUAUGUGGCAAGGUCUUCAACCAAAAAUCAAAACUUACACGUCAUUGUAGAAUUCAUACUGGAGAGAAACCUUACAAAUGUAACGAGUGUGGGAAGGUCUUCAAUCACAGUUCACACCUUGCACAACAUCGCAGAAUCCACACUGGAGAGAAACCUUUCAGAUGUGAUGAGUGUGGCAAGGUCUUCAGUCAAAAAUCCUACCUAGCAAACCACCGGAGAAUUCACACUGGGGAGAAACCUUACAAGUGUGAUGCAUGUGGCAAGGGCUUCAGUCAGAUUUCACACCUGGCAAGUCAUCGUAGAAUCCAUACUGGAGAGAAACCUUUCAAAUGUGAUGAAUGUGGAAAGGUCUUCCACCAGAUUUCACACCUUGCACAACAUCGAACAAUUCAUACAGGAGAGAAACCUUUCAAAUGUAAUGAGUGUGGCAAAGUCUUCAGUCGUAACUCAUACCUCAUUCACCAUCUGAUAAUCCACUCUGGAGAAAAACCAUACAAGUGCAAUGAGUGUGGCAAGGUCUUCAAUCAAAAAUCAAUCCUUACAAGUCAUUGUAGAAUUCAUACUGGAGAGAAACCUUACAAAUGUGAUGAAUGUGGGAAGGUCUUCAAUCAGAUUUCACACCUUGCAGAACAUAGAAGAAUUCACACUGGAGAGAAACCUUACAAGUGCAAUGAGUGUGGUAGUGUUUUCAGUCAGAAGUCAUCCCUUGCAAAUCAUCAGAGAAUCCACACUGGAGAGAAACCUUUCAAAUGCAGUGAGUGUGGCAAGGUCUUCAGUCGCAACUCAUACCUAGCAGAACAUCUGAUCAUUCAUACUGGGGAGAAGCCUUGCAGAUGCAAUGAAUGUGGAAAAGUCUUCAGUCAAAAUUCACAUCUUGCAUGUCAUCGCAGAAUCCAUACUGGGGAGAAACCUUACAAAUGUGAUGAUUGUGGCAAGGUCUUCAGUCUGAAUUCAUCCCUAGCACAUCACCGAAGGAUCCAUACUGGGGAGAAACCUUACAAAUGCAGUGAUUGUGGCAAGGUUUUCAGUCAAAAUUCACAUCUUGCAUGUCAUCGCAGAAUCCAUACUGGGGAGAAACCUUACAAAUGUAAUGACUGUGGCAAGGUUUUCAGUCAAAAGUCACAUCUUGCAUGUCAUCGCAGAAUCCAUACUGGGGAGAAACCUUACAAAUGCAAUGAAUGUGGCAAGGUCUUCAGUCUGAAUUCAUCCCUAGCACAUCACCAGAGGAUCCAUACUGGAGAGAAGCCUUAGAUGUGUAAUCACUGUGCACAGAAGGUGUGGGACUUUUGUAAUUCCAGCUACUUUGGAAAGUGGUGGGCGAAUGACAAGUACAAUUCGUGCCUGGGCAACUUGGGGAGAUUGUCUCAAAACAAAGGGCUGGGGAUGUAGGUCAGUGGUAGAAUGAUCGCCUAGCAUAUUUCAGUCCCUGGAUUCAAGUCCCAAGCCAGAAGAAAACAAUGUAACAAAUGCAUUGAGAUCUUCAGUCAAAUUGGUGUCUUGCAUAACAGAAUUCAUGGUGGAGAGAAGCCCUGUGGAUGUGAUGAGUGGCAAAGACUAGAGUGCAUCUGGCCUGACAGAUUAUGUGAUCCACACUAAGUGGCGAGGCGUUCACUGACAUCUCCUACCAUGCAAAUUGUCAAGACUUUAUCCUAGAGAAAAAAACCACAGAUGAAUUAGGCAAAGUCUCAGUCAGCAUUCAAGCCCUGCAAGACCACUGAGAGUUCCUAGUGGAGAAAUUAUCUUCCAUGAUCAAGAAAUAUGCAGACCCUUUAGGCCUCAUUUAAGGCUUAGUAACUUUCAGUGAGUCUGUGAUAGAGAGGAACCUUACCCAUGCACUGGACAUACACAGACCUUAAGGUAAAAGUCUGUCGGCAGCAUUCCUGCUGGAAAUAAACCUCACAAAUGUACCAAGGGUGGCAGAUCUUUAGUGUGCACUCGGCCCUCUAUACACACCAGGCCUAUCGUGACUGUCCAAAAAGGAACCCUGAGAAGCCAAGGCAUUACUUCAUGGAAUGAGGAUCACUACUGUCCUUGCUCCUGGAAGAGAAGGACUCUGCCUAUUAGAAUGCAGUAGUGUCUGCACCAAGGACUGUUUGGAAGGGGCUGAGCAGGAUGUAGAAUUAGUAUGUUGGUCAUCCUGCUUGCUGUGGAUGAGUGGUUUCUCAGGAAUGAUGGUGCCACACACUGAAAUGGUCUUGGAGUCCUCACAGCAUGAGGAGGCUUCCAGGGCAGCAGUGACAUCCUACACUUGUCCAGACAUGGCUGCCUCGUGUUACAGGGGUCCUGGGUGGUGCUGGAGCAAGGGAACCUGCUCAUCUUUGGAAUUCUCAGCUUCUGCCAAAAGAAGGGAGCACUGAGGGUUCAUCAUCAGCUUUCCCAGGUGAGCACCACAGAAAGGGUGUAGUAAGACCUGAACAGUGUCAAUAGUAAACAUCAGAGUGGGUCAGCUCCAGUGCAGCCCUGAGUGUUUACUCCUGACACUCCUGGCCUCUUGGCUAUCAUGGAGUAACUUACAAUUUUUGUCAUGCCAAUAAUUUACCACAUUUUCUGAUGCACAUGUAGGUCCCAUUCUACAGUGUGAUUGUUGAAAAUGUGCUUGAAAUACUGUUCAGACAAAUUAUGUACCAUUUUUAUUGAAUUUCCAUGAAAACUAUUGUUUGGAAAUGUUCAGUA